This 423-nucleotide ribosomal RNA is filed under the name uncultured eukaryote. Its description in RNAcentral is "bacterial SSU rRNA". It matches the Rfam family "Eukaryotic small subunit ribosomal RNA", at positions 592 to 1018 of the family's 1831-position model. The record is from RNAcentral.
CAAUAGCGUAUAUUAAAGUUGUUGCAGUUAAAAGCUCGUAGUUGGACUUCUGACGUGGGACUGCGCCCCGUUCCUUUUGGGACGUUGGGUGCGGACUUGUGUCUUCCUCUCGUAGUUGGUUGGUGCACUUAACUGGGUGCCUUCUGAAUAUGGGACCUUUACUUUGAAAAAUUAGAGUGUUCAAAGCAGGCAUUGGCUUGAAUACAUUAGCAUGGAAUAAUAGAAUAGGACUUUGGUUCUAUUUUGUUGGUUUCUAGGACCGAAGUAAUGAUUAAUAGGGACAGUUGGGGGCAUUAGUAUUUAAUUGUCAGAGGUGAAAUUCUUGGACCUCGAGACUAACAACUGCGAAAGACAUUUGUCCAAGGAUGUUCUCUUUAAUUCAAGAACGAAAGUUAAGGGGAGUCGAAGAUGAUUAGAUACCAU